GUCGUCGUCGGCAGUCGUCGCGGACGGAAUGUUGUUGGCUAUCCUGUAGCUCGAUGUUCGACAACCGUUCGACUCGAAUACCGUGGCGACAUUUUGUUCUCAAUUUUUCUUUCGUCUCGUUGCUCGUUCAUCAUCCUUUCUUCGAACUGGAUUAUCGCGUCUGGGACUCCGUACUAGUGAUAUACCACACGCUACGCCAGCACGUUUUGGAAAUGGCGUUACCCAUUGCGACGAAACGAAAGGGGAAGGUUAUGUCAGGUUGCACCAUUCAAAAACGUGCUAACGUAGCGUGUGCUGUCGCUUACUCGAAGUCUGAGCCCUGGCUUGAAAAUAGUGCUCAAGGAAUCGUAGGUUAUGCAGCAAGUCAUGGUUCUCUAAGGAUUAUUUAGAAAUUUUGACGAGCCUGAUAUUACUGAAACUAGAGAAAGAGUCUCCUGUCAAUUCUACAUUGUUUGAUAACCCUACCAACGAUCGAAGAGACUGUUCUUUUGCUGGUUGGGACUGUACUGUGAAUAUCACUAAAAAUAAAUCUGUUUUAUUUGUUCAAACAAUUUUCUCCAAAUGGUCGACCUCUCCCAGGUAGCACUGUCAACAUAUCAACUGGAUGUUAACGAGACCAAGCGUACACAGUGUCCCUUACAGUACCAUAACCUACACCGAUAUACAAAAGCAUUAGGAAUAUCGUGAAGGCAGUGGAGUGUGCUGUUCAUUUGAAAGAUUUCAAGCGAAAUAUAUACUCACAGAGAAAAGAGAGCCUGGGCUAAUUGAAUAUCGAAAAUGGAGGCCCAGCAAAAUGACAGGAAUUUUCGACACCUGGUGUCAACCUUUUCUCUCGACCAUCUCAAUAGUGCCGACGCAUCGACUCCCAGUUGGGCUUCCAGAAUGUUUCUUCUGCCGAAGGAAGAAGGACGAAGGAACAAAACUGAAAAGACACUGAAUUAAAGUAACAGAGGAAGAUCACAAAGCGCAGCAAUGUAGGUCUGCGCCAUCUGCAGCGUCUCGAAUUUACUGAGCUUGUGAUCGGCGCCUAAACUGGGGACAACUUCACGGAGUUUAUCGAAAGCGUCGUUCAAGCCGUUCAUGCGACGUCUUUCACGUGCAUUGGCAGCGAGACGACGACGCUUCAAGACGCUGGGGGACGGUGGUACGUCCCUGGAUCUUCGACGACCUCUUCUUGGACUGGAAGUUGGUGAAGACUGAAUUUUCUAUGGAAAAAGAAAGUGAGAUUUUCUUCUGGUACCUCCUCCAUUUCCGGCUAGUCUUUUCCUAAGAAACAAUCGUGGCGUUCAUAUCUCUUACCUAGGAUCUAAAUUUUGGAUGGACUAAUGGCUGUCCAUUAAGAAUUUCCAAAAAUGACCUCAUCGAGUAACAACACACUUCUUAAUAUAAAAAAUAUAAGGCAAACCAGGAACUUGGUGCUCUUUAUCUGUGUACCUGUAUGGCAAAGGAGAAGGCUUUGAUAGUAUCACAGGGGCGUCCCUUUAAAUUCAAAAGAUGCCAAAGAUAACUUGAAAGGAGAGAGAAGAAGCUUAAGGACAAGGAGAAAAGAAAAGAGGGCAAGAUCAACCGUCGCGUGCCAAGAUAGGUACAUGAAGGUAGCAAGGUGUUACUUGGAAGAGUCCAUAGGGUAGAUUCCUAUGUUGAUACGAACUUCCUAUAGAUGAUGAUGAUGAUGAUGAUAAUGAUAAUGAUGAUGAUGAUGAUGAUGAUGAUGGGAUGCCAAGAGAAAAUCUAAAGUCGUGUAAUUUCAUUAGGGAGGUAAUACCGACUGUCUAAGGACUAAUGAUUUUUCUAUAAAAAUCAUUCAUAAGCAUAUAUUAUGCUAAGACCAGUACUGAGGCGUUUAAAAGAAAAUUAUACUGAAUUUCACCAUUCGGUUCUCUUGUUGGCCAACCCGUUUUAUCGUUACUCAUUUCUAUCCAAUUAGCGGAUUCUGAGC
This is a long non-coding RNA of Cephus cinctus (wheat stem sawfly), 1939 nucleotides long. RefSeq lists it as uncharacterized. NCBI's taxonomy places the organism in Eukaryota, Metazoa, Arthropoda, Insecta, Hymenoptera, Cephidae. The transcript is spliced from 6 exons. The record is from RefSeq and is a predicted model, not a curated record.